Molecule: ribosomal RNA, 292 nt
Filed under: uncultured bacterium
Lineage: Bacteria
Description: partial 16S ribosomal RNA
Rfam family: Bacterial small subunit ribosomal RNA
Source: RNAcentral
GUGCCAGCCGCCGCGGUAAUACGUAGGGGGCGAGCGUUAUCCGGAUUUACUGGGCGUAAAGCGCGUUAAGGCGGUUGGCAAAGUUGGUUGUGAAAUUUCAGGGCUCAACCAUGAAACUGCGUCCAAUACUGGUCGACUAGAGUGCGAGAGAGGAAGGUGGAAUUCCCGGUGUAGUAGUGAAAUGCGUAGAUAUCGGGAGGAACACCAGUGGCGAAGGCGGCCUUCUGGCUCGCAACUGACGCUGUAGCGCGAAAGCGUGGGGAGCGAACGGGAUUAGAUACCCGCGUAGUCC